CCCCACCCCCUACUUUUUCAGGAGGCUCCUACUGAUGGGAAGGCUGGUUGAGAAAUCUAAAUAGAAACUGCCCACAUAGUUAGAAGGUUUAAUGUUCUAACAGCUUGUGAUUCCCUCAACGGCUUCUUUACAAUGCUUUCUUUUCAACCUCAGAAUUCUUAGAUGCAGAUUUCCUUCAUCCCCAGAUAAAUUCUAAAGCAGUGAACUUUUUCUGCGGUAUGGAAGGUGUUUUUCUUUCUUCUCAUUUCAGGCACAGCUAUGGUUUGUAUUCAUUUGGUGAGGCCUAGAGGAAUCAGCAAACACCUGUAGUGUUAACCUGUCUCAAAUCUUACAAAGAGCAUUAGAAAUUCUGAAGUAGUGU
This is a long non-coding RNA of Hibiscus syriacus, 361 nucleotides long. RefSeq lists it as uncharacterized. The transcript has 2 exons. NCBI's taxonomy places the organism in Eukaryota, Viridiplantae, Streptophyta, Magnoliopsida, Malvales, Malvaceae. The record is from RefSeq and is a predicted model, not a curated record.